RNAcentral lists this ribosomal RNA (429 nucleotides) under Chloroflexota bacterium. RNAcentral's name for it is "Chloroflexi bacterium partial 16S ribosomal RNA". It matches the Rfam family "Bacterial small subunit ribosomal RNA", at positions 355 to 776 of the family's 1533-position model. Lineage: Bacteria; Bacillati; Chloroflexota. The record is from RNAcentral.
UGGGGAAUAUUGCACAAUGGGCGCAAGCCUGAUGCAGCCAUGCCGCGUGUGUGAAGAAGGCCUUCGGGUCGUAAAGCACUUUCAGUCGGGAGGAAGGUGGUAAGGUUAAUAACCUUAUCAAUUGACGUUACCGACAGAAGAAGCACCGGCUAACUCCGUGCCAGCAGCCGCGGUAAUACGGAGGGUGCAAGCGUUAAUCGGAAUUACUGGGCGUAAAGCGCACGCAGGCGGUUGAUUGAGUCAGAUGUGAAAUCCCCGGGCUUAACCCGGGAAUUGCAUCUGAUACUGGUCAGCUAGAGUCUUGUAGAGGGGGGUAGAAUUCCAUGUGUAGCGGUGAAAUGCGUAGAGAUGUGGAGGAAUACCGGUGGCGAAGGCGGCCCCCUGGACAAAGACUGACGCUCAGGUGCGAAAGCGUGGGGAGCAAACAGG